UGACAGUUGGUUAUUGUUUUUGAUACUAGGAAAUAUAGAGGAAGUUAAUUGAAAGUGUAUUGAUGACAAAUGAUUUAGAUAAUGUAGGGAUAUAUGGUUUAGCGUAUCCUCCACCUAUUUAGGAAGAGCUGCAGUGGCAAGAGGAAUUUGCGUGAAAUUGAAGAAAGGGCUGAAGAAAACAGCUUUGGAUUGCAUCCACUCCAGCCCAGAGGAGAUGAGCCACGGGAGCAGCCGAAGGUCAGCAGGAGGAUGAGCAGAGUCCGGCCAGAGGUGAGGAGGCUGAGCCUCCCCAGAGCUUUGCAGCAGGAGCAGUGACCCUUGCUUUGUUUCUGCAGCAUUGCUUUAGGACAACGAGCUCAGCUGGGACCAAAGGAGGUGACACAGGUUUGCUGUGGCUUUCAGGUAAUGGAUGACCUUUUGCUCAAUUACACCACAAGCUUCACGUGGGCUCUUUCAUCCUCUACUUAUUAUGGACCACAUGAAAAAACUCCUUUAGAUUCAAA
Molecule: long non-coding RNA, 503 nt
Filed under: Junco hyemalis (dark-eyed junco)
Lineage: Eukaryota; Metazoa; Chordata; Aves; Passeriformes; Passerellidae
Description: lncRNA (ENSJHYG00000004255.1)
Source: RNAcentral